CCUACGGGAGGCAGCAGUGGGGAAUAUUGGACAAUGGGGGGAACCCUGAUCCAGCCAUGCCGCGUGUGUGAAGAAGGCCCUCGGGUUGUAAAGCACUUUCAGUGAGGAAGAACGCCUGGUGGUUAAUACCCAUCAGGAAAGACAUCACUCACAGAAGAAGCACCGGCUAACUCCGUGCCAGCAGCCGCGGUAAUACGGAGGGUGCGAGCGUUAAUCGGAAUUACUGGGCGUAAAGCGCGCGUAGGCGGCUUGAUAAGCCGGUUGUGAAAGCCCCGGGCUCAACCUGGGAACGGCAUCCGGAACUGUCAAGCUAGAGUGCAGGAGAGGAAGGUAGAAUUCCCGGUGUAGCGGUGAAAUGCGUAGAGAUCGGGAGGAAUACCAGUGGCGAAGGCGGCCUUCUGGACUGACACUGACACUGAGGUGCGAAAGCGUGGGUAGCAAACAGGAUUAGAUACCCCGUGUAGUC
This 466-nucleotide ribosomal RNA is filed under the name Vreelandella stevensii. RNAcentral describes it as "partial 16S ribosomal RNA". It matches the Rfam family "Bacterial small subunit ribosomal RNA", at positions 338 to 795 of the family's 1533-position model. Lineage: Bacteria; Pseudomonadati; Pseudomonadota; Gammaproteobacteria; Oceanospirillales; Halomonadaceae. The record is from RNAcentral.